This 428-nucleotide ribosomal RNA is filed under the name uncultured bacterium. RNAcentral's name for it is "bacterial SSU rRNA". It matches the Rfam family "Bacterial small subunit ribosomal RNA", at positions 64 to 524 of the family's 1533-position model. The record is from RNAcentral.
GCACGAGAAAGUGGAGCAAUCCAUGAGUAAAGUGGCGCACGGGUGAGUAACACGUGACUAACCUACCCUCGAGUGGGGAAUAACUUCGGGAAACCGAGGCUAAUACCGCAUAACACUUACGAGUCAAAGCAGCAAUGCGCUUGAGGAGGGGGUCGCGGCAGAUUAGCUAGUUGGUGAGGUAAUGGCUCACCAAGGCGAUGAUCUGUAUCCGGCCUGAGAGGGCGCACGGACACACUGGAACUGAAACACGGUCCAUACUCCUACGGGAGGCAGCAGUGGGGAAUUUUGCGCAAUGGGGGAAACCCUGACGCAGCAACGCCGCGUGGAGGAUGAAAUCCCUUGGGAUGUAAACUCCUUUCGAUCGGGACGAUUAUGACGGUACCGGAAGAAGAAGCCCCGGCUAACUUCGUGCCAGCAGCCGCGGUAAU